UACGUAGGGGGCAAGCGUUGUCCGGAUUUAUUGGGCGUAAAGAGCGUGUAGGCGGCCAGACAGGUCCGUUGUGAAAACUCGAGGCUCAACCUCGAGAUGUCGAUGGAAACCGUCUGGCUAGAGUCCGGAAGAGGAGUGUGGAAUUCCUGGUGUAGCGGUGGAAAUGCGCAGAUAUCAGGAGGAACACCGGUGGCGAAGGCGGGUCUCUGGGCAGUAACUGACGCUGAGGAGCGAAAGCAUGGGGAGCGAACAGG
This 254-nucleotide ribosomal RNA is filed under the name uncultured bacterium. Its description in RNAcentral is "partial 16S ribosomal RNA". It matches the Rfam family "Bacterial small subunit ribosomal RNA", at positions 524 to 776 of the family's 1533-position model. The record is from RNAcentral.